GAUUCAAUGGUCUAGUGGUUAUGAUUUCUGUCUUACACACAGAAGGUCCUGAGUUCGAUCCUCAGUUGAAUCA
This 73-nucleotide transfer RNA is filed under the name Leucogyrophana mollusca. RNAcentral describes it as "tRNA-Val". The record is from RNAcentral. Lineage: Eukaryota; Fungi; Basidiomycota; Agaricomycetes; Boletales.